Long non-coding RNA from Populus trichocarpa (black cottonwood), 1076 nucleotides. RefSeq lists it as uncharacterized. The record is from RefSeq and is a predicted model, not a curated record. The transcript has 2 exons. Lineage: Eukaryota; Viridiplantae; Streptophyta; Magnoliopsida; Malpighiales; Salicaceae.
CUUUGCUCUGGAUCAUCAUUCCAAAAAUCAUCUAAAACAAGAAAUAAUUUGUUGCCCAUCAAUAUCUCCCGGAGUUUACAGUGAAGACUACUGUGAGGCAUGAGAUCACAAUCCAAAAACCCAAGCUCUUUGACAAUGAUUUUUGUUAGGUUGAAAACAUUAAGAUCUUGUCAAACAGAGACCCAUGCUUUCAGAUCAAACCACUUUCGCACGUCAUCACCAUGGUAGACAAAUCUUGCCAAUCCCAGGCAUGCCCACUAUGGGAAUUACCUGCAAACUUUCUCCUUCUGCAUCAUCGGAUAGAAGCAACUUCUUUAUGGCCUCCUUAGAUUGGUCCCUACCAUAAACUCGAGUGUGACCUAGCAGAGAAGUCGAAGGCACGCGCUCAUGAGAUGGCUGUUGCUUCAUCAGAUGGAGGCUACGAGCUUUGUUUCUAACCUUUCAAGUUUUGCGAAAAUCUUUUCUAAUUAAUGGGCCAUCUCUCCUUCCUCGUUCUUGCUUAAAGGACAAAGAAAGGAGAUAAAAAAAAGUUUCGCACCUGAUACAUGCCAGUUUGAGAGCCAGCUACCAACUCUAUUCAUCGAGCUUCAUUAUCAAUCUCAAUCAACAAGUCUUCAGCUUCAUAGAUAGCUUCUUUAGCAUCCGCAAUCCAAGUCUUCAGAACCAUCACAGUAAAACAGAUCUCUCCCAGCUUCAGUUAUUUGCUUCUCCUCGGCGCCAUUGAGCAAGCCAUUAACAGUAUUCAAUGUUUCUCUCAACUUCUCGAGCUUUUCCUUAUCGAUCUCCCCGCAUGUGCAAAAGCCCAGAAGCACAGGAACCAACUGCUGGCCCAGAAAACCAGCAGCACCAUUCAGACAUGCUAACGCCAUCUCAACUGCCAUGAUGAAUCUUUGCAGAGGGUGUGAGUGUGGAGAGGGAAAUGGUGAAUUGAGCAGUGGGGAAGUAAAGAACAGUGAGGAGAGUGAAUUGGGGCCGUUGACUAGGGAUUAAUCGACGGGUAGGAAUGUUUGGAUUCUCAAGACGAGAAUCGUGAUUCAUAGAGCUUUGAGAAAUUUAAACUACAGCCAACUUGGAAA